CUUUCCCUUACAGGGGUCUGGAAGGGUGUAUUAUUCCCACUGGUUAAAUUUGAGUCUGGUUAACUGUCUUUCUUUUUAUAACUUUUAUUAAAGUAUUUUCAAACAAACGC
Long non-coding RNA from Poecilia latipinna (sailfin molly), 110 nucleotides. RefSeq lists it as uncharacterized. The transcript has 3 exons. The record is from RefSeq and is a predicted model, not a curated record. NCBI's taxonomy places the organism in Eukaryota, Metazoa, Chordata, Actinopteri, Cyprinodontiformes, Poeciliidae.